RNAcentral lists this ribosomal RNA (425 nucleotides) under Verrucomicrobiota bacterium. RNAcentral's name for it is "Verrucomicrobia bacterium partial 16S ribosomal RNA". It matches the Rfam family "Bacterial small subunit ribosomal RNA", at positions 355 to 776 of the family's 1533-position model. Lineage: Bacteria; Pseudomonadati; Verrucomicrobiota. The record is from RNAcentral.
UGAGGAAUAUUGGUCAAUGGGCGAGAGCCUGAACCAGCCAAGUCGCGUGAAGGAAGACUGCCCGCAAGGGUUGUAAACUUCUUUUGUAUGGGAUUAAAGUCGUCUACGUGUAGACGUUUGCAGUUACCGUACGAAUAAGCAUCGGCUAACUCCGUGCCAGCAGCCGCGGUAAUACGGAAGGUUCGGGCGUUAUCCGGAUUUAUUGGGUUUAAAGGGAGCGUAGGCCGUUUGGUAAGCGUGUUGUGAAAUGUAGGAGCUCAACUUCUAGAUUGCAGCGCGAACUGUCAGACUUGAGUGCGCACAACGUAGGCGGAAUUCAUGGUGUAGCGGUGAAAUGCUUAGAUAUCAUGAAGAACUCCGAUUGCGAAGGCAGCUUACGGGAGCGCAACUGACGCUGAAGCUCGAAGGUGCGGGUAUCGAACAGG